GACGAACGCUGGCGGCGUGCUUAACACAUGCAAGUCGAACGGAAAGGCCCCUUUGGGGGUCCUCGAGUGGCGAACGGGUGAGUAACACGUGGGUAACCUGCCCUUGACUUCGGGAUAACUUCAGGAAACUGGGGCUAAUACCGGAUAGGAAUCCUUGCUGCAUGGUGGGGGUUGGAAAGCUUCGGCGGUUUUGGAUGGACUCGCGGCUUAUCAGCUUGUUGGUGGGGUAGUGGCUUACCAAGGCUUUGACGGGUAGCCGGCCUGAGAGGGCGACCGGCCACAUUGGGACUGAGAUACGGCCCAGACUCCGACGGGAGGCAGCAGUGGGGAAUAUUGCACAAUGGGCGGAAGCCUGAUGCAGCAACGCCGCGGGCGGGAUGACGGCCUUCGGGUUGUAAACCGCUUUCAGCAGGGGCGAAGCUUGUGGUGACGGUACCUGCAGAAGAAGCACCGGCUAACUACGUG
Molecule: ribosomal RNA, 465 nt
Filed under: uncultured bacterium
Lineage: Bacteria
Description: partial 16S ribosomal RNA
Rfam family: Bacterial small subunit ribosomal RNA
Source: RNAcentral